UACGUAGGGUGCGAGCGUUGUCCGGAAUUACUGGGCGUAAAGAGCUCGUAGGUGGUUUGUCACGUCGUCUGUGAAAUUCCGGGGCUUAACCUCGGGCGUGCAGGCGAUACGGGCAAUACUUGAGUGCUGUAGGGGAGACUGGAAUUCCUGGUGUAGCGGUGAAAUGCGCAGAUAUCAGGAGGAACACCAAUGGCGAAGGCAGGUCUCUGGGCAGUUACUGACGCUGAGGAGCGAAAGCACGGGUAGCGAACAGGAUUAGAUACCCGGGUA
Molecule: ribosomal RNA, 270 nt
Filed under: uncultured prokaryote
Description: partial 16S ribosomal RNA
Rfam family: Bacterial small subunit ribosomal RNA
Source: RNAcentral